RNAcentral lists this transfer RNA (86 nucleotides) under Eubacteriales bacterium. RNAcentral's name for it is "tRNA-Leu". It matches the Rfam family "tRNA". From Rfam's summary of the family: Transfer RNA (tRNA) molecules are approximately 80 nucleotides in length. The record is from RNAcentral. Lineage: Bacteria; Bacillati; Bacillota; Clostridia; Eubacteriales.
GCCGGUGUGAUGGAAUGGCAGACGUGACGGACUCAAAAUCCGUUCCCAGCGAUGGGGUGUGGGUUCGAGUCCCACCACCGGCACCA